AAUUCUCCCUAACUCGCCAUCAUUCUGGUAACCCUCCUUUGCACCCUCUACAAAGCCUCCACAUUCUUCCUGCAAUGGGGCGAUCAGAACUGCAC
Long non-coding RNA from Amblyraja radiata (thorny skate), 95 nucleotides. RefSeq lists it as uncharacterized. The record is from RefSeq and is a predicted model, not a curated record. The transcript is spliced from 3 exons. NCBI's taxonomy places the organism in Eukaryota, Metazoa, Chordata, Chondrichthyes, Rajiformes, Rajidae.